GAUGAACGCUGGCGGCGUGCCUAAUACAUGCAAGUCGAGCGAACAGAUGAGGAGCUUGCUCCUCUGACGUUAGCGGCGGACGGGUGAGUAACACGUGGAUAACCUACCUAUAAGACUGGGAUAACUUCGGGAAACCGGCGCUAAUACCGGAUAAUAUAUUGAACCGCAUGGUUCAAUAGUGAAAGACGGUUUUGCUGUCACUUAUAGAUGGAUCCGCGCCGCAUUAGCUGGUUGGUAAGGUAACGGCUUACCAAGGCGACGAGGCGUAGCCGACGUGAGGGGGUGAUCGGCCACACUGGAACGGAGACGCGGUCCAGACUCCUACGGGAGGCAGCAGUAGGGAAUCUUCCGCAAUGGGCGAAAGCCUGACGGAGCAACGCCGCGUGAGUGAUGAAGGUCUUCGGAUCGUAAAGCUCUGUUAUGAGGGAAGAACAAAUGUGUAAGUAACUAUGCACGUCUUGACGGUACCUAAUCAGAAAGCCACGGCUAACUACGUG
This 497-nucleotide ribosomal RNA is filed under the name uncultured bacterium. Its description in RNAcentral is "partial 16S ribosomal RNA". It matches the Rfam family "Bacterial small subunit ribosomal RNA", at positions 28 to 507 of the family's 1533-position model. The record is from RNAcentral.